Molecule: ribosomal RNA, 740 nt
Filed under: uncultured bacterium
Lineage: Bacteria
Description: bacterial SSU rRNA
Rfam family: Bacterial small subunit ribosomal RNA
Source: RNAcentral
AGAGUUUGAUCAUGGCUCAGAACGAACGCUGGCGGCAGGCUUAAGACAUGCAAGUCGAACGCCCCGCAAGGGGAGUGGCAGACGGGUGAGUAACGCGUGGGAACAUGCCCCAAGGUACGGAAUAUUCCCGGGAAACUGGGAGCAAUACCGUAUGUGACCGAGAGGUGAAAGAUUUAUCGCCUUGGGAUUGGCCCGCGUUAGAUUAGCUAGUUGGUGGGGUAAUGGCCUACCAAGGCGACGAUCUAUAGCUGUUCUGAGAGGAAGAUCAGCCACACUGGGACUGAGACACGGCCCAGACUCCUACGGGAGGCAGCAGUCGGGAAUCUUGGACAAUGGGCGCAAGCCUGAUCCAGCCAUGCCGCGUGAAUGAUGAAGGCCUUAGGGUUGUAAAAUUCUUUCGUCGGGGACGAUAAUGACGGUACCCGAAGAAGAAGCUCCGGCUAACUUCGUGCCAGCAGCCGCGGUAAUACGAAGGGGGCUAGCGUUGUUCGGAAUUACUGGGCGUAAAGCGCGUGUAGGCGGACCGUUAAGUCGGGGGUGAAAGCCCAGAGCUCAACUCUGGAAUUGCCUUCGAUACUGGCGGUCUGGACCCAAGUAGAGGCGAGUGGAAUUACGAGUGUAGAGGUGAAAUUCGUAGAUAUUCGUAGGAACACCAGUGGCGAAGGCGACUCGCUGGACUUGUGGUGACGCUGAGACGCGAAAGCGUGGGGAGCAAACAGGAUUAGAUACCCUAGUAGUCC